This is a long non-coding RNA of Neomonachus schauinslandi (Hawaiian monk seal), 294 nucleotides long. RefSeq lists it as uncharacterized. Lineage: Eukaryota; Metazoa; Chordata; Mammalia; Carnivora; Phocidae. The record is from RefSeq and is a predicted model, not a curated record. The transcript has 3 exons.
AGCCCCUGCUCAAAGUGUGACAUGUGGGCCACCUGCAUGAGAAUCACGGUGUUAAAAUGCAGAUCCACAUCACCAGCUUUGUCCAAGCUGGGCCACAAAGGACACAUCAAAAGAAGCAUCUGAAGCAUAGACUAUGAUGGGUUAUAAACGCAGCGCCCGGAGAAGCCGGGCAGGGAACGAGGACCCAGAUGACCUCCUCCAUUCAGGGACUGAGAGCCCUCUGGCUCUGAGUUUGCCGUCCCUUCCGAUUAGUUGGUGCUUGUGCUCUGUCGAGAGAGACACAGCAAGAGAGGG